Rhinopithecus bieti (black snub-nosed monkey) is the source of this 2194-nucleotide long non-coding RNA. The record is from Ensembl. NCBI's taxonomy places the organism in Eukaryota, Metazoa, Chordata, Mammalia, Primates, Cercopithecidae.
AUGGAAUGGUCUCCUGAUGGUGAAUAUUUUGCUACUGCUGGAAAGGAUGAUUGUCUUUUGAAAGUAUGGUAUCCUAUGACUGGUUGGAAGUCUUCAAUUAUACCUCAGGAUCAUCAUGAAGUGAAAAGGAGACAGUCCUCUACUCAAUUUUCCUUUGUUUACUUGGCACAUCCCCGAGCUGUGACAGGUUUUUCAUGGCGUAAAACUAGCAAGUAUAUGCCCAGGGGCUCUGUCUGUAAUGUGUUAUUAACUUCAUGUCAUGAUGGUGUGUGCCGGCUCUGGGCAGAAACUUUAUUACCAGAAGACUGUCUUUUGGGUGAGCAGAUUUGUGAGACUACCACUUCCAGCAUUGCCAGCAACCUUUCUCAUGCUGGAAGACACAAAGACAGAAUACAGCAUGCUCUUGAGACAAUACACCAUUUGAAAAAUUUAAGGAAAGGACAGAGGAGGUCAUCUGUUCUUGUAACUCACGCUGAAUUAAUGCCCGACCAGACAGCAAUGCAUGAAGUUCAAAGACACAUUUCCCACCAUGCAAAUGCCCUCUGUCAUUUUCAUAUUGCAGCAAGCAUCAACCCUGCCACAGAUAUUCCAAAUGUCUUGGUUGGCACUGCAUUUAAUGUUGAUGAUGGAAAUGGGGGCUUUGUAGUUCAUUGGUUAAACAACAAGGAAUUUCAUUUUACGUCAUCUACAGAAAUAUUUAUGCAUCAGUUACGAAAACUUUCUGAUAAGCAGGUAGAUCAUGAAAGUGAUGAUGCAGAUAGAGAAGAUGAGGAGCAUUCACAGGAGGAUAGAGAACGGGGUUUACAUAUGAAAUUAGACCAUGAUUUAUCCCUGGAUAGAGAAUCUGAGGCAGGUACAGGAUCAUCGGAACAUGAAGAUGGAGAAAGAGAAGGAAGUCCUAGAACUUAUUCACGACUUAGUGUACCAAUGCCACUGCCUACGGUUCUGCUUGAUCGGAAGAUUGAAACGCUGCUAACUGAAUGGAAUAAGAAUCCUGAUAUGCUUUUUACAAUACACCCUGUAGAUGGUACCUUUCUAGUGUGGCAUGUAAAGUAUUUGGAUGAAUAUAAUCCUGGAAUAUUUAGACAAGUCCAGGUUUCUUUUUCUUCUCGGAUUCCUGUUGCAUUUCCCUCUGGUGAUGCAAGCUCUCUUAGUAAAAAUAUCAUGAUGUAUGCCUGUAUAAAUGCGACAAAAGAUUCUGACCACACCUUGUUACACCAGGAGGGGAUGUCUGUAGGCAGUCCUCACGGAUCACAGCCACACUCUAGAUCACACAGUACAAAUAUGAACAUCUUAGCUCCCACAGUGAUGAUGAUCUCUAAACACAUAGAUGGUUCUUUAAAUCAGUGGGCAGUCACUUUUGCUGAUAAGUCUGCCUUUACCACUGUUCUAACUGUAUCUCACAAAUUUAGAUAUUGCGGUCAUCGAUUUCACCUCAAUGACCUGGCAUGUCAUUCAGUUUUACCAUUGUUAUUGACAUCCUCUCAUCAUAAUGCUCUGUUGACUCCUGAAUCAGAUUAUCAGUGGGACUCAGACAAUAAAUUAAGUAGAUUAAUGGACCCUGUAAAACAUAUGAAAGGUUCCUCAAAACAACCUCUUAGAAAUGCAGCAACUCGUACAUUUCAUGACCCAAAUGCAAUCUACAGUGAACUUAUUCUGUGGCGUGUAGACCCAAUAGGACCUUUGUCAUACACUGGAGGAGUAUCAGAAUUGGCUCGAAUUAACUCUUUACAUACCUCAGCGUUCUCUAAUGUGGCUUGGCUUCCAACUCUCAUUCCCAGUUACUGUCUAGGCACAUAUUGCAAUUCUGCAAGUGCUUGCUUUGUUGCUUCUGAUGGCAAAAAUCUGAGACUCUAUCAAGCUGUAGUGGAUGCAAGGAAAUUAUUGGAUGAAUUGUCAGACCCAGAAUCUUCAAAACUUAUUGGAGAAGUGUUUAAUAUUGUGAGCCAACAGUCUACAGCUCGACCUGGCUGCAUUAUUGAACUCGAUGCAAUAACCAACCAAUGUGGCUCAAAUACACAGUUGCUUCAUGUGUUUCAAGAAGACUUUAUUAUAGGAUAUAAACCACAUAAAGAAGAUAUGGAGAAAAAGGAAACAGAAAUAUUUUUUCAGCCAUCACAAGGUACUUUAAAAAAAUAGUCUGCAUUUGUUUACCUUCAUGUUAACAAGACGAUCUCUAAGCUUUCAUUGAGUA